UAUAUAUAAAAAAUACACAAUUCAUCCAUCAUACAAACUCACAAAGCAUAAAUAGACAAAAAAAAAUUGCUAAACAACAUUGCAAAACUACAUUUACAAAAAAAAAAAAAAAACAUUGCAAAACUAAUCAUUAUUCAUAUCUCCAUGAACACUGCUUGUCUUUCUCCAUGGACUUGGACGACUUCCAACUUCUUAUGUCAACAAUGCAAUAAGUAUGCCAAAAUCAAACCUGAACAAAAUCAACAUAUCCAUAAUAGUUUAAACAUAAGAAACAGAAGAGAUAGUGGAAUCAGAGAGGAUAAUUAUAGAGAUUUUCAUGUUUUCACCUGGUAGCAACAUUGGUGGUGUCUAAGAUUGUAAAUUCUUCCGCCAAUGACUCGAAUGCCACAGUUCCCUACAGCCAUAACACUUACAGAGUUAUGAUCAUCAUUGCUCAAGUUCUACAUGCUGAGAGCAAAAAAAAAACAAAAAGAGGAGAGGAGAUGAUCUUCUCAAAUUCUACGAGAUUACAGAGAGAGCAAGAAAAUAAGAAGAGAGGGGGAGCAAGAAAAUAGGAGAACAUGGUUAGAGAGAAAGAGGGAACGAAAUUUCAGGGAUUCGUUUGUUGAAUACUCUCAAAUCUAAGUAAAUCAAUUUAGGAGAAAAGAAAAUAAAAUUACAGAGGGAAACAAAUAUAAUCUUAUUGAACAAAAAUAAUAACAUUGAAAAAUAAAAAUAAUAAUAAUAAAAUUGAACAUAUUUUAGUAAGUAAUAUUAAUAAAAAAUGAUAUAAUUAUAUAAUUGAUAUAAAUUCAUGUAACAUUAUUAUUUUGUUAAAAUGAUAUAAAUUAAUAGUUAUUAUAUCAUUUUACUGAACUGAUGUUAAGCUAAUUAAUAAUAACGUUAGUUAUUAUAAGUAAUGUUAAAACGAUAUAAAUUAAUUAUUAUAGAUAUCUAUUUUUUCAUCAUUUCACUGAACUGAUAUAUAUGUUAUGAUAUAGUUUUAUGUUAAUAACAUUGAAUAUUCU
This 1007-nucleotide long non-coding RNA is filed under the name Brassica rapa (field mustard). Its description in RNAcentral is "long non-coding RNA (BRAP_LNC006061)". Lineage: Eukaryota; Viridiplantae; Streptophyta; Magnoliopsida; Brassicales; Brassicaceae. The record is from RNAcentral.